UGGCGGACGGGUGAGUAACGCGUGGGUAACCUGCCUCAUACAGGGGGAUAACAGUUAGAAAUGACUGCUAAUACCGCAUAAGCGCACAAAACCGCAUGGUUUGGUGUGAAAAACUGAGGUGGUAUGAGAUGGACCCGCGUCUGAUUAGCUAGUUGGAGAGGUAACGGCUCACCAAGGCAACGAUCAGUAGCCGACCUGAGAGGGUGACCGGCCACAUUGGGACUAAGACACGGCCCAAACUCCUACGGGAGGCAGCAG
This 258-nucleotide ribosomal RNA is filed under the name uncultured bacterium. RNAcentral describes it as "partial 16S ribosomal RNA". It matches the Rfam family "Bacterial small subunit ribosomal RNA", at positions 96 to 354 of the family's 1533-position model. The record is from RNAcentral.